Molecule: transfer RNA, 88 nt
Filed under: Streptomyces zingiberis
Lineage: Bacteria; Bacillati; Actinomycetota; Actinomycetes; Kitasatosporales; Streptomycetaceae
Description: tRNA-Arg
Rfam family: tRNA (bases 21-88)
About the family: Transfer RNA (tRNA) molecules are approximately 80 nucleotides in length. Their secondary structure includes four short double-helical elements and three loops (D, anti-codon, and T loops).
Source: RNAcentral
GCCAUACCGGCAGGUCAGAGGCGUCCGGGACCUGCCGCCGGGACGGCCUCCGGAGCCGUGUGCGCAGGUUCGAAUCCUGCCGGGGGUA